This is a long non-coding RNA of Betta splendens (Siamese fighting fish), 1020 nucleotides long. RefSeq lists it as uncharacterized. The transcript has 3 exons. The record is from RefSeq and is a predicted model, not a curated record. NCBI's taxonomy places the organism in Eukaryota, Metazoa, Chordata, Actinopteri, Anabantiformes, Osphronemidae.
CAGAUUGUUCAAUGGUUGUCUCUGCCUGAUAGACUCUCAACUCUAGCUCCCAAACCCAAGGUCGGGGAGUUGUGUCUCUGUCUGUUGAGACUUGGUGCUCCUUUCUCACAGAUAGUUGGACGUCAGCGAUGCAGGUGUGAGAAUGUAAAAAUCUUCACACACACUGCGACAGGGAGGAGAUGGUGCAUGUAAUUUGAUUGGGUUAGAAAGACAUUCCACCCUAGUCGGACAGAGAAGCUAAAAGGCAGAAGCAACUUGAGGAUCGUGGGCUCUUUGCAUCACACCUUCGUGGUGUGUGCACUGAUCUCCCCAGCUGGUUUUUGGUUUGUUGAUGUGCACGAUCAACAUCCAUGCUUUUUAUUUGCUUUCCCCAUUAUUUUUAUUUUCUUUAUUAUUUCAAUAAAUCGCACAAAAGGACAACUCUCUCUCAUCUACUUCUUUAUGGAAAAUUUCCACCACAGAAAUUGGCGUCACGAACAGGAUCCCGCGGCAGGUCGUCUGGACGGUGUGACCAGGGACGAUAGUCCUGAGGACUAGGGUCGCUCAGCCUCCAAACCUCUACAGACAUUCAGAGCUGGGAGGACUGCUCACCCGUCUGGAUCGCCUCUGACGAGAUCCACGAACUCAGAUUCAAACUCAAAUCCUAAUUUGGCUCGGCUCGCUCCACACUUCCCUCUGUGAAAACAUGAUGGAGACAGAUGCAGGACGUGGGUCCUUUCGUGAACAGAUGUGAACGGGGUGGAGACUGGUGAACGACUUCUGACCCCAUAGGACGCUCUGACCCAACACUCAGCCUUACAGGAAGCCCUGCUUCCCUGUGGCUCACACACAGACAUGAUGUAGGUUUGAUCAGAGGAUGUGAACCAGUGGUCAUCACACCUAAAUCUGACCACAGACCAUGUGAACAACAACACCCUCUUAAAGGAAGCCAUAGAUGGUGUUACUGCAGACACCACUAAGCUACUGAAACAUUGGAUGCUACAGGCCACAAAGAGAGCCUGUCUAAAUUACAGGUUGUUC